GCCAAUCUUGUCAUCAAAGGUAGGUGGAGAAGAAGAUGAGCAAGCUCAAACAAGGUUCAUGUGGACAAACUCUUUCCUAGAAAUCAAAAGUUUGUAGUGCUUUUUGGAAAUUAUUCUAUAUGCUUAUAUCUAUGUUAUUUAGUCAUAUAGAAUUCUAUCAGUCCGCUCUGAUUAGCUUCCCGAAUCGUCAUACAAGAUUAGAUUUCCAAGAAGAAGCCAGCAACUUACCUUUGUUAUCAAAACUCAAGGUAUAAAAUUUGGUCCAUUGGUGUUUCCUAUACGAAUACAACAAAUCUCAGCUUUGCUUGUGCCUCACAACCUUUUAUUUUAGCUUGACUUAUAAAGAUUCAAAAAGUAGGCAUAAAGUUUUUUU
Arabidopsis thaliana (thale cress) is the source of this 373-nucleotide RNA transcript. RefSeq lists it as uncharacterized. Lineage: Eukaryota; Viridiplantae; Streptophyta; Magnoliopsida; Brassicales; Brassicaceae. The transcript has a single exon. The record is from RefSeq.